GCCCCUGUAGUUUAGCUUGGCUAGAAUGUAAGAUUGCGGAUCUUAUGACGCGGGUUCGAAUCCCGCCGGGGGCA
RNAcentral lists this transfer RNA (74 nucleotides) under Candidatus Aenigmatarchaeota archaeon. RNAcentral describes it as "tRNA-Arg". It matches the Rfam family "tRNA". Rfam says of the family: Transfer RNA (tRNA) molecules are approximately 80 nucleotides in length. The record is from RNAcentral. Lineage: Archaea; Nanobdellati; Candidatus Aenigmatarchaeota.